GGUCCGUCGUAGAGGGUAACAACCCCGUAGUCGAAACUUCGUUCUCUCUUGAAUGUAUCCUGAGUACGGCGGAACACGUGAAAUUCCGUCGGAAUCUGGGAGGACCAUCUCCCAAGGCUAAAUACUCCCUAGUGAUCGAUAGUGAACCAGUACCGUGAGGGAAAGGUGAAAAGCACCCCGGAAGGGGAGUGAAAGAGAUCCUGAAACCGUGUGCCUACAAAUAGUCAGAGCCCGUUAACGGGUGAUGGCGUGCCUUUUGUAGAAUGAACCGGCGAGUUACGAUCCCGUGCGAGGUUAAGCUGAAGAGGCGGAGCCGCAGCGAAAGCGAGUCUGAAUAGGGCGUUUAGUACGUGGUCGUAGACCCGAAACCAGGUGAUCUACCCAUGUCCAGGGUGAAGUUCAGGUAACACUGAAUGGAGGCCCGAACCCACGCACGUUGAAAAGUGCGGGGAUGAGGUGUGGGUAGCGGAGAAAUUCCAAUCGAACCUGGAGAUAGCUGGUUCUCCCCGAAAUAGCUUUAGGGCUAGCCUUAAGUGUAAGAGUCUUGGAGGUAGAGCACUGAUUGGACUAGGGGUCCUCAUCGGAUUACCGAAUUCAGUCAAACUCCGAAUGCCAAUGACUUAUCCUUAGGAGUCAGACUGCGAGUGAUAAGAUCCGUAGUCAAAAGGGAAACAGCCCAGACCGCCAGCUAAGGUCCCAAAGUGUGUAUUAAGUGGAAAAGGAUGUGGAGUUGCUUAGACAACUAGGAUGUUGGCUUAGAAGCAGCCACCAUUUAAAGAGUGCGUAAUAGCUCACUAGUCGAGUGACUCUGCGCCGAAAAUGUACCGGGGCUAAAUACACCACCGAAGCUGCGGAUUGAUACCGAAUGGUAUCAGUGGUAGGGGAGCGUUCUAAGGACAGUGAAGUCAGACCGUAAGGACUGGUGGAGUGCUUAGAAGUGAGAAUGCCGGUAUGAGUAGCGAAAGACGGGUGAGAAUCCCGUCCACCGAAUGCCUAAGGUUUCCUGAGGAAGGCUCGUCCGCUCAGGGUUAGUCAGGACCUAAGCCGAGGCCGACAGGCGUAGGCGAUGGACAACAGGUUGAUAUUCCUGUACCACCUCUUUAUCGUUUGAGCAAUGGAGGGACGCAGAAGGAUAGAAGAAGCGUGCGAUUGGUUGUGCACGUCCAAGCAGUUAGGCUGAUAAGUAGGCAAAUCCGCUUAUCGUGUAUGCUGAGCUGUGAUGGGGAAGCUCCUUAUGGAGCGAAGUCUUUGAUUCCCCGCUGCCAAGAAAAGCUUCUAGCGAGAUAAAAGGUGCCUGUACCGCAAACCGACACAGGUAGGCGAGGAGAGAAUCCUAAGGUGUGCGAGAGAACUCUGGUUAAGGAACUCGGCAAAAUGACCCCGUAACUUCGGGAGAAGGGGUGCUUUCUUAACGGAAAGCCGCAGUGAAUAGGCCCAAGCGACUGUUUAGCAAAAACACAGCUCUCUGCGAAGCCGUAAGGCGAAGUAUAGGGGGUGACACCUGCCCGGUGCUGGAAGGUUAAGGAGAGGGGUUAGCGUAAGCGAAGCUCUGAACUGAAGCCCCAGUAAACGGCGGCCGUAACUAUAACGGUCCUAAGGUAGCGAAAUUCCUUGUCGGGUAAGUUCCGACCCGCACGAAAGGUGUAACGAUUUGGGCACUGUCUCAACCAGAGACUCGGUGAAAUUAUAGUACCUGUGAAGAUGCAGGUUACCCGCGACAGGACGGAAAGACCCCGUGGAGCUUUACUGUAGCCUGAUAUUGAAUUUUGGUACAGUUUGUACAGGAUAGGCGGGAGCCAUUGAAACCGGAGCGCUAGCUUCGGUGGAGGCGCUGGUGGGAUACCGCCCUGACUGUAUUGAAAUUCUAACCUACGGGUCUUAUCGACCCGGGAGACAGUGUCAGGUGGGCAGUUUGACUGGGGCGGUCGCCUCCUAAAGUGUAACGGAGGCGCCCAAAGGUUCCCUCAGAAUGGUUGGAAAUCAUUCGUAGAGUGCAAAGGCAUAAGGGAGCUUGACUGCGAGACCUACAAGUCGAGCAGGGACGAAAGUCGGGCUUAGUGAUCCGGUGGUUCCGCAUGGAAGGGCCAUCGCUCAACGGAUAAAAGCUACCCCGGGGAUAACAGGCUUAUCUCCCCCAAGAGUCCACAUCGACGGGGAGGUUUGGCACCUCGAUGUCGGCUCAUCGCAUCCUGGGGCUGUAGUCGGUCCCAAGGGUUGGGCUGUUCGCCCAUUAAAGCGGUACGCGAGCUGGGUUCAGAACGUCGUGAGACAGUUCGGUCCCUAUCCGUCGUGGGCGUAGGAAAUUUGAGAGGAGCUGUCCUUAGUACGAGAGGACCGGGAUGGACGCACCGCUGGUGUACCAGUUGUUCUGCCAAGGGCAUAGCUGGGUAGCUAUGUGCGGAAGGGAUAAGUGCUGAAAGCAUCUAAGCAUGAAGCCCCCCUCAAGAUGAGAUUUCCCAUAGCGUAAGCUAGUAAGAUCCCUGAAAGAUGAUCAGGUUGAUAGGUUCGAGGUGGAAGCAUGGUGACAUGUGGAGCUGACGAAUACUAAUAGAUCGAGGACUUAACCAU
This 2568-nucleotide ribosomal RNA is filed under the name Bacillus cereus BMG1.7. RNAcentral describes it as "bacterial LSU rRNA". It matches the Rfam family "Bacterial large subunit ribosomal RNA", at positions 349 to 2925 of the family's 2925-position model. Lineage: Bacteria; Bacillati; Bacillota; Bacilli; Caryophanales; Bacillaceae. The record is from RNAcentral.